This 104-nucleotide small nucleolar RNA is filed under the name Dasypus novemcinctus (nine-banded armadillo). RNAcentral describes it as "Small nucleolar RNA U13 (ENSDNOG00000040233.1)". It matches the Rfam family "Small nucleolar RNA U13". The record is from RNAcentral. Lineage: Eukaryota; Metazoa; Chordata; Mammalia; Cingulata; Dasypodidae.
AUCCUUUUGUGGUUCAUAAGCUUGAUAAAUGUGUGUUCACACAUUUGUGUGAGAUGUGCCUCCCUGAAACUUUGUUACUACGUCGGCACAUUACCCCACUGACA